RNAcentral lists this ribosomal RNA (510 nucleotides) under uncultured bacterium. Its description in RNAcentral is "partial 16S ribosomal RNA". It matches the Rfam family "Bacterial small subunit ribosomal RNA", at positions 28 to 507 of the family's 1533-position model. The record is from RNAcentral.
GACGAACGCUGGCGGCGUGCUUAACACAUGCAAGUCGAACGAAGAGCGAUGGAAGCUUGCUUCUAUCAAUCUUAGUGGCGAACGGGUGAGUAACGCGUAAUCAACCUGCCCUUCAGAGGGGGACAACAGUUGGAAACGACUGCUAAUACCGCAUACGAUCUAAUCUCGGCAUCGAGGAUAGAUGAAAGGUGGCCUCUACAUGUAAGCUAUCACUGAAGGAGGGGAUUGCGUCUGAUUAGCUAGUUGGAGGGGUAACGGCCCACCAAGGCGAUGAUCAGUAGCCGGUCUGAGAGGAUGAACGGCCACAUUGGGACUGAGACACGGCCCAGACUCCUACGGGAGGCAGCAGUGGGGAAUCUUCCGCAAUGGACGAAAGUCUGACGGAGCAACGCUGCGUGAGCGAUGACGGCCUUCGGGUUGUAAAGCUCUGUUAAUCGGGACGAAAGGCCUUCUUGCGAAUAGUGAGAAGGAUUGACGGUACCGGAAUAGAAAGCCACGGCUAACUACGUG